GGACAUAGAUUCAGUGGUAGAGUGCUUGCCUAGCAUGCAAGAGUCCCUGGGUUUGAUCCUCAGUAGUGCA
Molecule: transfer RNA, 70 nt
Filed under: Marmota monax (woodchuck)
Lineage: Eukaryota; Metazoa; Chordata; Mammalia; Rodentia; Sciuridae
Description: tRNA.Ala
Source: RNAcentral